This 499-nucleotide ribosomal RNA is filed under the name uncultured bacterium. RNAcentral describes it as "bacterial SSU rRNA". It matches the Rfam family "Bacterial small subunit ribosomal RNA", at positions 30 to 514 of the family's 1533-position model. The record is from RNAcentral.
AUUGAACGCUGGCGGCAGGCCUAACACAUGCAAGUCGAGCGGUAGAGAGGUGCUUGCAUCUCUUGAGAGCGGCGGACGGGUGAGUAAUGCCUAGGAAUCUGCCUAGUGGUGGGGGAUAACGUUCGGAAACGGACGCUAAUACCGCAUACGUCCUACGGGAGAAAGCGGGGGAGUCUUCGGACCUCGCGCCAUUAGAUGAGCCUAGGUCGGAUUAGCUAGUUGGUGAGGUAAUGGCUCACCAAGGCGACGAUCCGUAACUGGUCUGAGAGGAUGAUCAGUCACACUGGAACUGAGACACGGUCCAGACUCCUACGGGAGGCAGCAGUGGGGAAUAUUGGACAAUGGGCGAAAGCCUGAUCCAGCCAUGCCGCGUGUGUGAAGAAGGUCUUCGGAUUGUAAAGCACUUUAAGUUGGGAGGAAAGGGUAGGUUAAACCCUAAUACGUUGCUAACUUUGACGGUUACCGACAGAAUAAGCACCGGCUAACUUCGUGCCAGCAG